GCUUGUCUCAAAGAUUAAGCCAUGCAUGUCUCAGCAUAAGCUUCAACACGGUGAAACUGCAAAUGGCUCAUUAAAGCAGUUACAAUUUAUUUGAUGGUCACUGUUACAUGGAUAACCGUGGUAAUUCUAGAGCUAAUACAUGCUAUAUGCCCGGCUUCUGGCAGGGCUGUAUUUAUUAGAUACUAAACCAGUGUCGCAAGACAUUGUGGUGAAUCACAGUAACUGAUCGAAUCGGCGCGCAAGCGGCGAUAAAUCAUUCAAGUUUCUGCCCUAUCAGCUUUCGAUGGUAGUGUAUUGGACUACCAUGGCAGUCACGGGUAACGGAGAAUUAGGGUUCGGUUCCGGAGAGGGAGCCUGAGAAACGGCUACCACAUCUAAGGAAGGCAGCAGG
RNAcentral lists this ribosomal RNA (391 nucleotides) under uncultured ciliate. RNAcentral describes it as "partial small subunit ribosomal RNA". It matches the Rfam family "Eukaryotic small subunit ribosomal RNA", at positions 30 to 432 of the family's 1831-position model. Lineage: Eukaryota; Ciliophora. The record is from RNAcentral.